This 500-nucleotide ribosomal RNA is filed under the name Bacillus sp. ZXM112. Its description in RNAcentral is "bacterial SSU rRNA". It matches the Rfam family "Bacterial small subunit ribosomal RNA", at positions 112 to 597 of the family's 1533-position model. Lineage: Bacteria; Bacillati; Bacillota; Bacilli; Caryophanales; Bacillaceae. The record is from RNAcentral.
AACACGUGGGUAACCUGCCCAUAAGACUGGGAUAACUCCGGGAAACCGGGGCUAAUACCGGAUAACAUUUUGAACCGCAUGGUUCGAAAUUGAAAGGCGGCUUCGGCUGUCACUUAUGGAUGGACCCGCGUCGCAUUAGCUAGUUGGUGAGGUAACGGCUCACCAAGGCAACGAUGCGUAGCCGACCUGAGAGGGUGAUCGGCCACACUGGGACUGAGACACGGCCCAGACUCCUACGGGAGGCAGCAGUAGGGAAUCUUCCGCAAUGGACGAAAGUCUGACGGAGCAACGCCGCGUGAGUGAUGAAGGCUUUCGGGUCGUAAAACUCUGUUGUUAGGGAAGAACAAGUGCUAGUUGAAUAAGCUGGCACCUUGACGGUACCUAACCAGAAAGCCACGGCUAACUACGUGCCAGCAGCCGCGGUAAUACGUAGGUGGCAAGCGUUAUCCGGAAUUAUUGGGCGUAAAGCGCGCGCAGGUGGUUUCUUAAGUCUGAUGUGA